CACUCCUACGGGAGGCAGCAGUGGGGAAUAUUGGACAAUGGGCGCAAGCCUGAUCCAGCCAUGCCGCGUGAGUGAUGAAGGCCCUAGGGUUGUAAAGCUCUUUCACCGGUGAAGAUAAUGACGGUAACCGGAGAAGAAGCCCCGGCUAACUUCGUGCCAGCAGCCGCGGUAAUACGAAGGGGGCUAGCGUUGUUCGGAUUUACUGGGCGUAAAGCGCACGUAGGCGGACUAUUAAGUCAGGGGUGAAAUCCCGGGGCUCAACCCCGGAACUGCCUUUGAUACUGGUAGUCUUGAGUUCGAGAGAGGUGAGUGGAAUUCCGAGUGUAGAGGUGAAAUUCGUAGAUAUUCGGAGGAACACCAGUGGCGAAGGCGGCUCACUGGCUCGAUACUGACGCUGAGGUGCGAAAGCGUGGGGGGCAAACAGGAUUAGAUACCCUGGUAGUCCC
This 446-nucleotide ribosomal RNA is filed under the name uncultured organism. Its description in RNAcentral is "partial 16S ribosomal RNA". It matches the Rfam family "Bacterial small subunit ribosomal RNA", at positions 334 to 797 of the family's 1533-position model. The record is from RNAcentral.